AACUCUUUUCCUCAUCUAUGUCUUUCCACCUUUUGGGCACUGGAAGGACAUCUCGAGUUACUACGCCAAUUUGACUUGCAAGCUUUGCAGAUUCAUCUCCAUUUAUAGGUCUUCCUAUUAAUGGAUCCACAUUAAUCAUCAUUUUUCUCCCUAAAGCAACAAAUGUCUUCAUAAUCCCCUUGCCCAUUGUUGGACCACGACUCCUUUUCC
This 210-nucleotide long non-coding RNA is filed under the name Panax ginseng (ginseng). RNAcentral describes it as "long non-coding RNA (PGIN_LNC007010)". The record is from RNAcentral. Lineage: Eukaryota; Viridiplantae; Streptophyta; Magnoliopsida; Apiales; Araliaceae.